GCAGUAGCCGCGGGAAUACGUAGGUGGCAAGCGUUGUCCGGAAUUAUUGGGCGUAAAGGGCUCGCAGGCGGUUCCUUAAGUCUGAUGUGAAAGCCCCCGGCUCAACCGGGGAGGGUCAUUGGAAACUGGGAAACUUGAGUGCAGAAGAGGAGAGUGGAAUUCCACGUGUAGCGGUGAAAUGCGUAGAGAUGUGGAGGAACACCAGUGGCGAAGGCGACUCUCUGGUCUGUAACUGACGCUGAGGAGCGAAAGCGUGGGGAGCGAACAGGAUUAGAUACCCCUGUAGUCCCUGUCUCUUAUAA
Molecule: ribosomal RNA, 302 nt
Filed under: uncultured bacterium
Lineage: Bacteria
Description: partial 16S ribosomal RNA
Rfam family: Bacterial small subunit ribosomal RNA
Source: RNAcentral